This is a non-coding RNA of Cordylochernes scorpioides, 73 nucleotides long. Lineage: Eukaryota; Metazoa; Arthropoda; Arachnida; Pseudoscorpiones; Chernetidae. The record is from the annotation of a GenBank genome assembly.
GGCGAUGUAGCUCAGAUGGUAGAGCGCUCGCUUAGCAUGCGAGAGGUACUGGGAUCGAUACCUAGCAUCUCCA